RNAcentral lists this ribosomal RNA (510 nucleotides) under uncultured bacterium. RNAcentral describes it as "partial 16S ribosomal RNA". It matches the Rfam family "Bacterial small subunit ribosomal RNA", at positions 28 to 507 of the family's 1533-position model. The record is from RNAcentral.
GACGAACGCUGGCGGCGUGCUUAACACAUGCAAGUCGAACGAAGAGCGAUGGAAGCUUGCUUCUAUCAAUCUUAGUGGCGAACGGGUGAGUAACGCGUAAUCAACCUGCCCUUCAGAGGGGGACAACAGUUGGAAACGACUGCUAAUACCGCAUACGAUCUAAUCUCGGCAUCGAGGAUAGAUGAAAGGUGGCCUCUACAUGUAAGCUAUCACUGAAGGAGGGGAUUGCGUCUGAUUAGCUAGUUGGAGGGGUAACGGCCCACCAAGGCGAUGAUCAGUAGCCGGUCUGAGAGGAUGAACGGCCACAUUGGGACUGAGACACGGCCCAGACCCCUACGGGAGGCAGCAGUGGGGAAUCUUCCGCAAUGGACGAAAGUCUGACGGAGCAACGCCGCGUGAGUGAUGACGGCCUUCGGGUUGUAAAGCUCUGUUAAUCGGGACGAAAGGCCUUCUUGCGAAUAGUGAGAAGGGUUGACGGUACCGGAAGAGAAAGCCACGGCUAACUACGUG